Aricia agestis (brown argus) is the source of this 154-nucleotide long non-coding RNA. RefSeq lists it as uncharacterized. The transcript is spliced from 3 exons. The record is from RefSeq and is a predicted model, not a curated record. NCBI's taxonomy places the organism in Eukaryota, Metazoa, Arthropoda, Insecta, Lepidoptera, Lycaenidae.
UAUGUUUCGAAUACAAGCCAGCGCGUUCGCGAGUGAAGAAAAUGAACGCGAACGUUUGCGCUAGUCUCACGGAAUCCAAAAUCGAAAUUCCACAUUAGGAAAUCGAAUACGGAAAACGUGUGUAUGCGGCCAGCCUUUUGGCAUUUCAUUUUAC